Molecule: ribosomal RNA, 396 nt
Filed under: uncultured bacterium
Lineage: Bacteria
Description: partial 16S ribosomal RNA
Rfam family: Bacterial small subunit ribosomal RNA
Source: RNAcentral
AAUAUUGCACAAUGGAGGAAACUCUGAUGCAGCGACGCCGCGUGAACGAUGAAGGCUCUCGAGUCGUAAAGUUCUGUCCCAGGGGACGAUAAUGACGGUACCCUAGGAGGAAGCCCCGGCUAACUAUGUGCCAGCAGCCGCGGUAAUACGUAGGGGGCGAGCGUUGUCCGGAUUUAUUGGGCGUAAAGGGUACGCAGGCGGCCAUGUAAGUCAGAUGUGAAAGACCACAGCUUAACUGUGGUAAGCAUUUGAAACUGCUUGGCUUGAGUUAAGGAGAGGAAAGUAGAAUUCCUAGUGUAGCGGUGAAAUGCGUAGAUAUUAGGAAGAAUAUCAGUGGCGAAGGCGACUUUCUGGACUUAUACUGACGCUGAGGUACGAAAGCGUGGGGAGCAAACA